AUCCAGCUGACGAGUCCCAAAUAGGACGAAAUGCGCAUCCUGAAU
Molecule: non-coding RNA, 45 nt
Organism: Trichobilharzia regenti
Lineage: Eukaryota; Metazoa; Platyhelminthes; Trematoda; Strigeidida; Schistosomatidae
Source: Rfam